GGAAAAAUCAGGAGGGCAGUAGUCAUAAUGCAGGCAGGAGCUCAUUGCCAUUUUGAAUGGGCAUAGACUGUCCUAGUAGGACACCAAUUCUAGCCAAAGUUGCCCACGGGAACCACCCACCACUGCUUGCUUCGCUUGAAAGAAAACAAGGGCUGGGAGACAGCUGCCUCUGAUUUUACUUCUUGCCUUAGGAAGGUUCCAGCUAAUUUUGUGUAACAUAGUUGUGCCGGCUCUUCCAUGAAAAUUUUGUCUUUUUCUUUGUAGAAUCCUCAGUCCUUCAGAAAUAUUAAUUUCUAAACUGACUGUUCUGCUUAUACUUUCCCCUCUUUUUUGGUUAUUUAAUUCCUGUUAUAACACUCAAGGGCUGCUACUGGUCUUACAUUUAAUUUACUGCAUUUUAUUUUAUGAGAUUUCUGUGGCUUCUUGUUACAGGACUUUGUAUGAGAUUUUGUGGAGAGGUCCUGGUUAACUUUAAAGAACUCCUUGGGUUAGUUGGCUGAGAAUCAUUGGCUUUGGUUGGCUGCUGAGACUUGUGGGAGGACCAUUUGAAAGCGCCUACUUCUCCAAGGUACAAGCAGAACCACUUGCUAUCAGGACAAGCAAGCAUGCUGUUCUCCUAGAACACGCUGCACUUGACUUGAUGAGGCAGGAAGACUGAGAUGACAGCUAUACUUGAAUUCAUGCCAUUCCCACUGGUCACCAGUGACCACACCCUCCUAGGGUCUUGCUCUGUCACCCAGGCUGGAAUGCAAUGGCC
This 757-nucleotide long non-coding RNA is filed under the name Homo sapiens (human). RNAcentral's name for it is "HSALNT0319764". Lineage: Eukaryota; Metazoa; Chordata; Mammalia; Primates; Hominidae. The record is from RNAcentral.